GGGUUGUGAGGUUAAGCGACUAAGCGUACACGGUGGAUGCCCUGGCAGUCAGAGGCGAUGAAGGACGUGCUAAUCUGCGAAAAGCGUCGGUAAGGUGAUAUGAACCGUUACAGCCGGCGAUGUCCGAAUGGGGAAACCCAGUGCAAUUCGUUGCACUAUCGUUAACUGAAUACAUAGGUUAACGAGGCGAACCGGGGGAACUGAAACAUCUAAGUACCCCGAGGAAAAGAAAUCAACCGAGAUUCCCCCAGUAGCGGCGAGCGAACGGGGAGCAGCCCAGAGUCUGAAUCAGCUUGUGUGUUAGUGGAACGGUCUGGAAAGUCCGACGGUACAGGGUGAUAGUCCCGUACACCAAAAUGCACAGGCUGUGAACUCGAAGAGUAGGGCGGGACACGUGGUAUCCUGUCUGAAUAUGGGGGGACCAUCCUCCAAGGCUAAAUACUCCUGACUGACCGAUAGUGAACCAGUACCGUGAGGGAAAGGCGAAAAGAACCCCGGCGAGGGGAGUGAAAAAGAACCUGAAACCGUGUACGUACAAGCAGUGGGAGCACCUUCGGGUGUGACUGCGUACCUUUUGUAUAAUGGGUCAGCGACUUAUAUUCUGUAGCAAGGUUAACCGUAUAGGGGAGCCGCAGGGAAACCGAGUCUUAACUGGGCGUUAAGUUGCAGGGUAUAGACCCGAAACCCGGUGAUCUAGCCAUGGGCAGGUUGAAGGUUGGGUAACACUAACUGGAGGACCGAACCGACUAAUGUUGAAAAAUUAGCGGAUGACUUGUGGCUGGGGGUGAAAGGCCAAUCAAACCGGGAGAUAGCUGGUUCUCCCCGAAAGCUAUUUAGGUAGCGCCUCGUGAAUUCAUCUUCGGGGGUAGAGCACUGUUUCGGCUAGGGGGUCAUCCCGACUUACCAACCCGAUGCAAACUACGAAUACCGAAGAAUGUUAUCACGGGAGACACACGGCGGGUGCUAACGUCCGUCGUGAAGAGGGAAACAACCCAGACCGCCAGCUAAGGUCCCAAAGUCAUGGUUAAGUGGGAAACGAUGUGGGAAGGCACAGACAGCCAGGAUGUUGGCUUAGAAGCAGCCAUCAUUUAAAGAAAGCGUAAUAGCUCACUGGUCGAGUCGGCCUGCGCGGAAGAUGUAACGGGGCUAAACCAUGCACCGAAGCUGCGGCAGCGACACUAUGUGUUGUUGGGUAGGGGAGCGUUCUGUAAGCCUGCGAAGGUGACCUGUGAGGGUUGCUGGAGGUAUCAGAAGUGCGAAUGCUGACAUAAGUAACGAUAAAGCGGGUGAAAAGCCCGCUCGCCGGAAGACCAAGGGUUCCUGUCCAACGUUAAUCGGGGCAGGGUGAGUCGACCCCUAAGGCGAGGCCGAAAGGCGUAGUCGAUGGGAAACAGGUUAAUAUUCCUGUACUUGGUGUUACUGCGAAGGGGGGACGGAGAAGGCUAUGUUAGCCGGGCGACGGUUGUCCCGGUUUAAGCAUGUAGGCUGGUUAUCCAGGCAAAUCCGGAUAAUCAAGGCUGAGGUGUGAUGACGAGGCACUACGGUGCUGAAGUAACAAAUGCCCUGCUUCCAGGAAAAGCCUCUAAGCAUCAGGUAACAUCAAAUCGUACCCCAAACCGACACAGGUGGUCAGGUAGAGAAUACCAAGGCGCUUGAGAGAACUCGGGUGAAGGAACUAGGCAAAAUGGUGCCGUAACUUCGGGAGAAGGCACGCUGGUGUGUAGGUGAAGUCCCUGCGGAUGGAGCUGAGACCAGUCGAAGAUACCAGCUGGCUGCAACUGUUUAUUAAAAACACAGCACUGUGCAAACACGAAAGUGGACGUAUACGGUGUGACGCCUGCCCGGUGCCGGAAGGUUAAUUGAUGGGGUUAUCCGUAAGGAGAAGCUCUUGAUCGAAGCCCCGGUAAACGGCGGCCGUAACUAUAACGGUCCUAAGGUAGCGAAAUUCCUUGUCGGGUAAGUUCCGACCUGCACGAAUGGCGUAAUGAUGGCCAGGCUGUCUCCACCCGAGACUCAGUGAAAUUGAACUCGCUGUGAAGAUGCAGUGUACCCGCGGCAAGACGGAAAGACCCCGUGAACCUUUACUAUAGCUUGACACUGAACAUUGAGCCUUGAUGUGUAGGAUAGGUGGGAGGCUUUGAAGCGUGGACGCCAGUCUGCGUGGAGCCAACCUUGAAAUACCACCCUUUAAUGUUUGAUGUUCUAACGUUGGCCCCUGACCGGGGUUGCGGACAGUGUCUGGUGGGUAGUUUGACUGGGGCGGUCUCCUCCCAAAGCGUAACGGAGGAGCACGAAGGUUAGCUAAUCCUGGUCGGACAUCAGGAGGUUAGUGCAAUGGCAUAAGCUAGCUUGACUGCGAGCGUGACGGCGCGAGCAGGUGCGAAAGCAGGUCAUAGUGAUCCGGUGGUUCUGAAUGGAAGGGCCAUCGCUCAACGGAUAAAAGGUACUCCGGGGAUAACAGGCUGAUACCGCCCAAGAGUUCAUAUCGACGGCGGUGUUUGGCACCUCGAUGUCGGCUCAUCACAUCCUGGGGCUGAAGUAGGUCCCAAGGGUAUGGCUGUUCGCCAUUUAAAGUGGUACGCGAGCUGGGUUUAGAACGUCGUGAGACAGUUCGGUCCCUAUCUGCCGUGGGCGCUGGAGAAUUGAGGGGGGCUGCUCCUAGUACGAGAGGACCGGAGUGGACGCAUCACUGGUGUUCGGGUUGUCAUGCCAAUGGCACUGCCCGGUAGCUAAAUGCGGAAGAGAUAAGUGCUGAAAGCAUCUAAGCACGAAACUUGCCCCGAGAUGAGUUCUCCCUGAGACUUUAAGUCUCCUGAAGGAACGUUAAAGACGAUGACGUUGAUAGGCCGGGUGUGUAAGCGCAGCGAUGCGUUGAGCUAACCGGUACUAAUGAACCGUGAGGCUUAACCUUACAACGCCGAAG
RNAcentral lists this ribosomal RNA (2923 nucleotides) under Klebsiella pneumoniae. Its description in RNAcentral is "bacterial LSU rRNA". It matches the Rfam family "Bacterial large subunit ribosomal RNA". RNAcentral also lists the same sequence under 1 other name. The record is from RNAcentral. Lineage: Bacteria; Pseudomonadati; Pseudomonadota; Gammaproteobacteria; Enterobacterales; Enterobacteriaceae.